RNAcentral lists this ribosomal RNA (373 nucleotides) under uncultured organism. RNAcentral's name for it is "bacterial SSU rRNA". It matches the Rfam family "Bacterial small subunit ribosomal RNA", at positions 526 to 896 of the family's 1533-position model. The record is from RNAcentral.
CGGGGGGAGCAAGCGUUGUACGGAUUUACUGGGCGUAAAGGGCGUGUAGGCGGCCACCGCAAGUCAGUUGUGAAAGCUCUGGGCUUAACCCAGAAAGGUCAACUGAUACUGCGGGGCUAGAGUGCAGAAGGGGCAACUGGAAUUCUCGGUGUAGCGGUGAAAUGCGUAGAUAUCGAGAGGAACACCUGCGGCGAAGGCGGGUUGCUGGGCUGACACUGACGCUGAAACGCGAAAGCUAGGGGAGCGAACGGGAUUAGAUACCCCGGUAGUCCUAGCCUUAAACGAUGAAUGCUUGGUGUCUGGGGUUUAUAGUCCCCGGGUGCCGUCGCUAACGCUUUAAGCAUUCCGCCUGGGGAGUACGGUCGCAAGACUG